AGAGCGAACGCUGGCGGCAUGCUUAACACAUGCAAGUCGCACGGGCACUUCGGUGUCAGUGGCGGACGGGUGAGUAACGCGUAGGUAUCUAUCCUUGGGUGGGGGACAACGGUUGGAAACGACUGCUAAUACCGCAUGAUAACUGAGGUUUAAAGGCGCAAGUCGCCUGAGGAGGAGCCUGCGUACGAUUAGCUAGUUGGUGGGGUAAAGGCCUACCAAGGCGACGAUCGUUAGCUGGUCUGAGAGGAUGAUCAGCCACAUUGGGACUGAGACACGGCCCAAACUCCUACGGGAGGCAGCAGUGGGGAAUAUUGGACAAUGGGCGAAAGCCUGAUCCAGCAAUGCCGCGUGUGUGAAGAAGGUCUUCGGAUUGUAAAGCACUUUCGACAGGGACGAUGAUGACGGUACCUGUAGAAGAAGCCCGGCUAACUUCGCGCCAGCAGCCGC
Molecule: ribosomal RNA, 447 nt
Filed under: uncultured bacterium
Lineage: Bacteria
Description: SSU rRNA
Rfam family: Bacterial small subunit ribosomal RNA
Source: RNAcentral